Molecule: ribosomal RNA, 1361 nt
Filed under: Minervarya kudremukhensis
Lineage: Eukaryota; Metazoa; Chordata; Amphibia; Anura; Dicroglossidae
Description: Fejervarya kudremukhensis partial 16S rRNA
Rfam family: Bacterial large subunit ribosomal RNA
Source: RNAcentral
AGCUAAAAACCAAGCCUUUCUCUCUUCCCCCACAACCCCCCCCCCCAUAAAACAUUUUCUUAUCUUAGUAGAGGGGAUCAAAAAAAAAAAAAGCGCUUUACAAGAAGUACCGCAAGGGAAAGGGGAAAUAGUCCUGAAAUAGCCAUAAAGCACUAAACAGCAAAAAUUAACUCUUGGACCUUUUGCAUCAUGGUUUAACUAGUCAAAAUCAAGCAAAACGAGGGAUUAUUCUGAUCCCCCGAAACUAGGGGAGCUACUUCGAAACAGCCUUUGAGCUAACCCAUCUCUGUCGCAAAAAAGGGGGAAAAUUUCCAAGUAAAAGUGAAAAGCCUAUCGGGCCUAAAGAUAGCUGGUUAUUCAAAAAAAAAAUCUUAGUUCCCCUUUAAGUUUUCUCCUUUUUCCCAAAAAAAUUUAAAACUUAAAAGCUAUUCAAAUAAGGGACAGCUUAUUUGAAAAAGGAUACAACCUAAAACUAAGGGGUAGCCUAUUAACUUUCCCCAGGGGGCCUAAAAGCACCCCCCUUUUGAAAAGGGUUACAGCUUAACUAUCAACUUUCUCUUCAAUCCUAUUUUAUACUUCGAACCCUACCCCCGGUACUGAAUAACCUUAUACUGUUAUAAGAGAUUUAAUGUUAAAAGGAGGAACAGGGCGCAGUCCUUCUCCUUAAUGUAAGCAAACACCAAAACGGACUAACCAUUGGUUCUUAACGUCCAUGAACUUAACCUAACAACAUCCUUCGAAAACCCUAUGCCCAGACUACGUUAAUCUUCCACCAGAACAUUUCGGGAAAGAUAAAAAGAAAAAGAAGGAACUCGGCAAAUCUAAAUCCCGCCUGUUUACCAAAAACAUCGCCUCUUGCCAUAUUUUAUAAGAGGUCCAGCCUGCCCAGUGACAAUUUAACGGCCGCGGUAUUCUGACCGCGCGAAGGUAGCAUAAUCACUUGUUCUUUAAAUGGGGACUAGUAUCAACGGCAUCACGAGGAUUUUUCUGUCUCCUUUUUCUAGUCAGUGAAACUGAUCUCCCCGUGAAGAAGCGGGGAUAGCGCUAUAAGACGAGAAGACCCCAUGGAGCUUUAAACCCAGUUACACCUCAAACUCCCCUUUCCCUCAAAGUUUUUAUGAUUUGUCUUCUGGUUUUAGGUUGGGGCGACCGCGGAGUAUAACUUAACCUCCACAACGCACGGAACUUUUUCUUAUCCUAGAGCCACACCUCAAAGAAUUAACACAUUGACGUUAAUGAUCCAAUUAUUUUGAUUAAUGAACCAAGUUACCCUGGGGAUAACAGCGCAAUCCAUUUCUAGAGCCCCUAUCGACAAAUGGGUUUACGACCUCGAUGUUGGAUCAGGGUGUCCCAGUGGUGCA